GCAGCUUUAGCUCAGUUGGUAGAGCAACUGACUCUUAAUCAGUGGGUCCAGGGUUCGAGUCCCUGAAGGCG
Molecule: transfer RNA, 71 nt
Filed under: Anaerotignum sp.
Lineage: Bacteria; Bacillati; Bacillota; Clostridia; Lachnospirales; Anaerotignaceae
Description: tRNA-Lys
Rfam family: tRNA
About the family: Transfer RNA (tRNA) molecules are approximately 80 nucleotides in length. Their secondary structure includes four short double-helical elements and three loops (D, anti-codon, and T loops). Further hydrogen bonds mediate the characteristic L-shaped molecular structure. tRNAs have two regions of fundamental functional importance: the anti-codon, which is responsible for specific mRNA codon recognition, and the 3' end, to which the tRNAs corresponding amino acid is attached (by aminoacyl-tRNA synthetases). tRNAs cope with the degeneracy of the genetic code in two manners: having more than one tRNA (with a specific anti-codon) for a particular amino acid; and 'wobble' base-pairing, i.e. permitting non-standard base-pairing at the 3rd anti-codon position.
Source: RNAcentral